UAACGAGGGAAUCUGCAUCUCGUCCACUAGUAAAAGCUACAUUAUUAUUCUGGCUGGAAAAAUCAAAAAGCUGCUGCUGCGAUGAAUUAAUUUGCAUGGAUAUGAGCUUAGAUCCGAAUAGUAAUUAUGUUUGAACUAGCCACAAUAGGGAAAUAAGGUAAAUGUCUUUCCCAGCCUUGAAUUCCUUAAAAUUGUAGCUGAAGCUCUACUUCAAAUCCAUUAUUCUUGUUUUCCUAGCUAUAGAUAAACAAUUGAUGACCGUAAUUAUGUUAGAUAUAAGAGCAAAUUUGCUGACUACGUUGCAACAAUAAAGUCGAAUAAUUU
This is a long non-coding RNA of Hermetia illucens (black soldier fly), 324 nucleotides long. RefSeq lists it as uncharacterized. The record is from RefSeq and is a predicted model, not a curated record. The transcript has 2 exons. Lineage: Eukaryota; Metazoa; Arthropoda; Insecta; Diptera; Stratiomyidae.